Scophthalmus maximus (turbot) is the source of this 6746-nucleotide long non-coding RNA. RefSeq lists it as uncharacterized. Lineage: Eukaryota; Metazoa; Chordata; Actinopteri; Pleuronectiformes; Scophthalmidae. The record is from RefSeq and is a predicted model, not a curated record. The transcript has 2 exons.
UCUGUCCCUUCCCUUUUAUCAUUUAUGACAAGGGGGUUCAUUACCUGGCUAAUUGUUGCAAUAAUGAGAAGCUUGUUUAUCUAGGAGGAGUAAUUAGAGGUGUCAUUUAGCAUCAAUUACACCCGUGGUGGUUUAAUCUGCCAUUAGGAUGCAGCCAGAGAGAAUGUACCCAGGCCUACUCCAGGUUGAACGCAGCUGUUAUGAAGGAUGUGUACAAUUUGCCCCACAGAUAGAGGGACGAUUUGCCAUUAAUCUGAGUGUCUGGUGGACAGAGAAGAUAUUGCAGUGUUUAUUCCUAAUAUUAACCAAGAGAGGGCAACACUGAAAACACUACGUGAAUACAGAAUGUAAUAUGUAUGGGGGGGGUUAAUAUUUAGUGUCUGGGCUAUGAUCUUGGCAUCCCCCUGCAAACGUACACAAAAUAGACAUAUAAAUAGUCCGUGUUCAAGACAACAGACCGCAUUAUUGAAUGCAUUAUUCAUAUAUUAUUUAGUAGAGCCCGACCGAUUUAUCGAUAGGCCCGUGAAAAUCAGCCAACCAAAGCCUUUUAUAGACAUAUUGGUAUCGGCAUCAAUGUUUGCUAAUUUGCGCCGAUAUGAAAAGUUGUAUUAUCCAAAGUAAAUUAUUGUUUUCUUCUCAGUUAUAUAUUUAAAAAAUAUUGUUAUUGAGGUUUAAGAUAUCGAUCCUCAAUUACUCAAUUUCUUUGCCGUAUGGGUGAUAACAACAAAAUAUUGAUAUAUUGGCCGAUGUUUGGGUAUCUGAAAUUUUUUACUCCCUUAUAUUGGUGUUGGUAAAUUAGUAUUGGAUUUACCCCCCAAAAUCAGUGACGGUCAGGCUCUCGUACUUCGACUAUUUCUCGUAGCCAUUGCCAAUCACGCCAACACAACACCAACUACACAGGGCAAGGCACUGACGCACAACAUGCAUGAAAGACCAAACAUCGUACACCAGUGGCUCUGUGGAGUGAAGCAGUGAUCGAUUGGACGCUAACUGUCUUAUGAAAAGCAACAGGUAUUCAGCAGCAGGGGCAAGCGCUGGCCGCAUUGAUACAACAGAACGGAAAUAGCAGCGGUGCAUCAUGGCAGAGCAAAAGAAUUGGCAGAGGCCUACGGUCUGAGAUAGCUCGCCUCAUUGUAAAGCGCAUGUUGGAUAACCAAUACGUCGACCAGUGUAUGUCACGUGUGAGCGUAAUUCUUAGAUAGUGAGUGCCCUAACAAUUAGACCACAAUAAUCGAACUGCUAUUAAGCUUCACACACGUGCGACUGAAGGGAGAGGCACUGUCUGUGAGGGCAAAUGAUUGCCAUAAUUGUAUUCAUGCAUUAUGUUAAAUAUCAAGCACAACCUGAACACAAAACUGUUCGGUUUCUUCAUUUGUAAUGCUUCGAGUAAGCAAUCAACGUGUUGGUAGGGGAUGUUUUCUGAAGCCGAUCUUCCUACCAGACUGUUUUUUUGUUGUGAAAGUGUACACAAUCCGUAAGAUAUCCCCACAAUAAUAUAUGUAUGAUUUAUGAAAAAGUUAAUUUGUUUCACGCCAUUUUUUUUAUACACAUAUUACUCAAGUAUUACCAAUUUAAUUUAAGUUAAUCCUGUUCCAACCAGGAUAAAAGUGAGAGGUGUAAUAAUGUGAAUAAGCACCAAUUGAUAAUAGUAUUAAUGAUAAUGAUAAAGCUGAGUUUGUAUUUUUGUAUUGUAUUACUCACCAGCUAUCACGGGCUUAUUCAGCACCGUCUCUCCACAUGACUUGUGUGACCUUGUUCAGUCUCUCACAGGUUCAUCAGAAUAAAGGCAGAGGAUAAUUGACUGUGGGGUAAAAGCAGGGCAAUUGACUUAAUAACAGAGCGUUCUUUAUUUGUAUCAACGUGCUGUGUGUUCAUCUUUCUUUAUUGAAACACAAAUACUCAAUGGAGAGUUAAGCUGUGUGUGCAGAUUGAUCGUGGUAAUCACUAACGUCUUAUACAACUCUACAUACAAAUAACUAGGAUCAGAAAAACCAGAGAAGCGAGGGGCUCAGUAGUCGGGCGAAGGCCAGGUGUCGGUCACAUUGAGCUGUUUCCACUACAGGCAGGAAACUCGCCAUUCAUUGUGCAAUAUAUGGCAUAUUUGAAUGUGCAACACUCCUCGAACACACUGGUCAAAGGUUGUUGCUGUAGCUAUUUACAUUUCACAAUGAGUUUUCCUUGAAUUAAAACAAGGAAACAGUGGUUUGCUAGAUUUAUACAGGGGAGAUGGACCAACCGAUUUGACAGUAGGUAUGAGUAUGCACCAGGUUAUUUGGUUUUAACAUGUCUAGAAUAAUCUCAAUGAGAGAUUGUUCGCUGGCUGUUAAGGUUACUGCUUUAGCGCUUCCCUUUGAGUUGCAAUGAGGUCCGUACAUCCCUCUGCAUCUCUCUUACAUGAUGCCAAUUACUUCCAGGCCCCCUGGAGGGAAGGAUGGGAGAGUGGCUCAAACUACUGCUGCCAUCGCAUGCGCUACAUUUAACUAUUGAACUGAGGACUCUUGAAAUAAUCAUUAUCGUAUCCUCACCCCACUGAGCAGGGUAGGAUUGAUCAUAUGAUCGCCACAAAAAUGAGUGAAAAAAGAAGAGAUGCCGAAAAAAGGUGUCAGGGGGAAGAGCCAUUCAUCCAGUAAGUAAAGAAGCUCUUUACCAUCUAUGUACUGGAGACCAAAAAUGAAAAGCGGCUGUAUACCUUCGAAUGAAGUAUGCACAUUAUAAAAAGGCCAAGUUUACCCUGUGCCAUAUAUUUACAUGUAUCCCAGAUAUGUUGGCUUCAUUUUUGUACAACAGGGGGAAGCGGAGAUUUGAUACAGACUUUAACAAUCAACAGUUUCACGGUUUCCUACAGUCCGUCUCUUCGUUCCACAGCCUGAACAGGUCUGUCUGCCUCCAUCCGAGCCUGAGGGCCAGCGUCAUGCUCACCAAGUGACUACGUUGGCAAAAAACUGUGUCAGGUGGUCAUAAAGAUGGCAUAAGACUGAUUCCCCCUUUACCAGCUCGUCUUUUUUUUUCUAAUAAGAGCUUUAGUGUGGAGAAGUUGUCAGAAACGUCUAGUUUUCAACUAUAGUAAAGAGAAAUACUUCAGUUAAUGAGAGAAAAAUUUAAAGCACAAGUGGUGGUUAUCUUUUAAUUACUUGAGCAAAUCUACCCUACUCGUGUGUGUGUGUGUGUGUGUGUGUGUGUGUGUGUGUGUGUGUGUGUGUGCUUUUUACAAUUGCACUAAAUUAGAAUUUAGUGCAGUUGUAAAAUAAAACCAAAAAUCGUCCCCCUUGACCGCGCCACUGUUAAAAGGAUCAGGAAAUGAAAGCAUUUUAAAAAAUCUACCUGUGUAGAGUUGUUGUUUUUUUCCUGUAGAAAGCAACCAUUAAUAAAUCUGUUGUUCCUGCUAUGACAUGCCACACUGUCUUGUGUGGAAAGGGCCUGCGGGCAAAAUACCCAAUUUGUGGUCUGACUUUCUUUUGAAGUUUGAUGAGUUAAUCCAUUGAUGUCGUGUGCGCAUUUUUGUGUCUGUGUGUAUUUGUGUGUCCUAACAUGUUCAGUUUAUUCUUGUAUUUCUUUUUGCACACUGAUCAGCAUCUUUUAAACAAUGUGCCGGGUCUUUCGUAUGGCGCCAAAUCACAACAUCCAUUAUCACUUUACACAGUAGGGUGGGGGUCUUAUUAAUAUUUCAGAGUAUAAACCAACAGUUCCCACGUGGAGAACAGUGAAAAGAGAGAGAGAGAGAGAGAGAGAGAGAGAGAGGGAGAGAGAGAGAGAGAGAGAGAGAGAGAGAGACCUGUGCGAGCGUCCGCCUGCCUCGACCGGUUGGGUUCAGAGAAGCGAGAUGUGGGGAAAGAAGUGUGGGCGGGACUAAAGAGAGAGGGACCAGGAGCUGCUGUCUGAUUCGUUCCUGUAUGCAUUCCUAUCAGAAUCCACAAAUAUAUUGCAUGUACAUGUUCAAAAAUGUAAAGCUCGUACAGCAGUGAAUGCAGACAAAUUAAAUUCACACCCGCUCGUGAAUGCACAUGGUGAGCUGUAUUCUCACACACGCACACUUCCCCUCAGCUGGACUCUGCUUAUCAUCCGUAGCAGUGUUUGCGUUAGUUCAUUGAGUUCUGGAUCAAACAGAUAUAAGAGUCUGCGGCGCCACGAGGGGGGACAAUUAGCCUUAAUGAAAUGCAGGAGCAAAUCACACUCAGUGCUGUGCUAACAGUUGUUCGGUGAAUAUUCAUGCGCUGUUGGCUUUGCAGAUGCAUUAAAAGGCGGCGCUGCGUUGCUGAAUACCAAUCGUUGCAUUUCCACCUGUCACUCGUCUACGCUCUCACUGAAGUUAACACCCUAAUCAGCCUUAUUGCUGUUACAAUGUUUUUUGGGAGCUCAUCGCCGCUCAAACACGCGCCGCAUCUGUCACCCAAUCCAGCGGCACCUGCGGCCGUUCCUCCAUUUGAAAACGGUAGCAGCUGCUCACCUUUUCACAAAAUAGUUCAGACACAUCACACACGAAUGGAUAGCGGUGAUAACGUCAGACUGUGAAGUAGAACAGAUGAACUUUACUCACACAAGAGUUGCUGAUCUCGUUGAUAGAGUAGCAAGCGUCACUGCGUGUAUGUCCCUCAGCACACUGCAAUGGCCAAACCUUCUAUUGUUCAUCACGAAGAAAAUAAAAAUAACCAGUCACGGCUCUAUUAAAGCGAUAAGCAACUCUUAUUAGUAAAGCUAUCAUGAGCUUCUUUACAAAUUCAUUUGUUAUUGUUGAGAAAUAAAUUGUUAAGGAGUGCUGCUAUUAUUAAUAACACAAUUACACAUACGUAUCACUAGUAUAAAAUGAUUCCAACCAGGGUGAUGGUGCUUGAAAACAAAAGGUAGAAACAGUGGAGCUGUCCCUGUUCUCUUUCUCCUCUCUCAACCAUUUCUUUCCUCUCAAUUGAUCUUUUGUAAAUUUAAACAUUUGGUGUCCUAUUACUUUUGAACUCCACUUUUUAAUGCCAGAUUCGUGAUAGUCUAUUUUCUGAUCCAUCCAUGCUACUUUUAACUUGCAGGCAUUUUUUAAAAUACGUAAAUAUUCGGGUUAAGUGUGUGAUCCCCUCUCUGCAGCCUCCGUCCCUACAGCCUGUCUCACUCUUUGUGUUGACCUCUCGCAGAGCGGGAGACAACUUCAUCAUUAGCAGCUACUCGUCAGUCAGACAGGACAGACAGUGGCCAGAUGGUGGUGAGAUUAUCCUCCAUUAGAUAACAUAACUCUACCGUGGCCUGUUUUCAUGAGAAGUCCAGUCAACGAGUCAGCUAUUUCUUUAAAACAGUUUGUAGAAGAUGAUGAUGGAUGAUUUUUAUCAUUAGCUCUUAAUACUAUGAGUAGGAGUAGUGACAAGUGGAACAGAGGGAGCAGGAUCAGUUCAAUAACAGUAUUGCUCUUGUCUAUAUCUAUCUAUCUAUCUAUAGAUAGAUAUAGAUAGAUAGAUAUAGGAUUUUACAGAAUUACAGGGCCUGCCAAUGUUAAAAGUGCUUCCUUUGAAUCAAAGCUUAAAACUUGCACUAAUCGUGCCAAAUUUCCUGAUUUCACCUGAUUCUAGUUUUCAUUAUUUUUAUGGUUUGUCAUGUUUAAAUUUUUAUUUUUUAUUCUUUUAUGCCUGUGUUUUUAUGUUAUUUCUAUGUGGGUUUUUUAAUGUUUUUUUGAGAAGUACUGUAUAAAUAAACAUAUUAUUAUUAUUGUUGUAAUUAUUAUGAACAUUCAGGGUAAAUUUAUGUUUUUUUAAGGUAUGUUAUUUAUAUAUAGGCUAGUUAGUCUAUAAACUAGCCACCAAACAAAGAACCAAGUGAGUAAACAUGUAGACAAACAACAAAUUAUACAGUCAAAGUUGUAACGACUCACCAAGCUGAUCCAAUCCAGAGUGAACCACAAAUUUCCCAAUAAUUACUGUAAGGAAGUUUCAAAAAAGAAAAGGAAAAAAAGGAGGGGGUGGGGGGAUGGAGUCAUUGCUUCAGUGGAAAUGUGCAAAACACAAGAGGACAGAUGAGACGUAGGCUUACUCAACACUGUCAUCUGGAGGCACUUGGUUGUAAAUGUUACAGGAGGUGUUGUAAAAACAGGAAGGCACAACUCAUGGGUCUUCCUGUUUUUCAAAACUCUCUUGUAUCGGUGCUGUUUCUAUCAUUUCAGCAGCCAUGUGCCAACAGUCAACUAUUUUUUUUUUUAUGGCGUCAUGCUUCAAUUGUUGAAUCCACCUCUGCCACGUCUGAUCUGUGUCGUGAACACAAUUGCAGAAUCACCGACUCACCACCUGUCGUAAAUGGAAGGAAAUGCUCUGUCAAAUCCAUCAAAUUCAGCAAGGUGGAUCACAAACAACCCCAGUUUCAGUGGCAAUUUUGUGACAACAUUAUGGAAGACAGAGAUGAGUGCAAAAACCCCAUAUAAGAGAGCGCAGGGGUAAGCCACCAACAGCUGCUGCCCAUCCAUGGCCAACGCCGAGAUGAAGAUCUUUGAAGCCGAGAAGCUGCACCAGCCGAUAAUUGCUGCUGUCAGUACAAUUCCAAUCAUUCCCCUGGAGAGGACAACAAAGGGAGAAGGGAGUUAUCUUUCAUUAUUUCGACAAUCAACUGUAGUGAAGCAUCAAUGAUAUAGUUUCAUUAAAUGUACAACAAUCAGUCAUCCAACUAGUUACUACUUACACUGCCCUACAUAUUGAUCAAGAUGGAAAACUAUGAAAGUUGUUUUUGUUAUAAACAUCAUAGAGAGGUUGCUCUAGUCAAAUGCAAUAAAAUCUUAAAUCGGA